AACUUGGCAUUGAUAAGGAAAAUGUUCAGAUUGCUUGCAUGCCGAGUAUCUGAUUUCUGACAAGGUUUUUUGGUUUCGUCACUCCUUUGUUAUAUGGAAGAAGACUUCAUGGUAGAAGAUAGCGACAGAGUGCUGCCGGAUAAUGAGAUGUUGAAGCGGCAGAUUGAAUCCAUGACACCGAAGUGCAAUUGCGGCAGAU
This is a long non-coding RNA of Triticum dicoccoides, 199 nucleotides long. RefSeq lists it as uncharacterized. NCBI's taxonomy places the organism in Eukaryota, Viridiplantae, Streptophyta, Magnoliopsida, Poales, Poaceae. The record is from RefSeq and is a predicted model, not a curated record. The transcript has 3 exons.